AUUGAACGCUGGCGGCAGGCCUAACACAUGCAAGUCGAACGGUAACAGGAAGAAGCUUGCUUCUUUGCUGACGAGUGGCGGACGGGUGAGUAAUGUCUGGGAAACUGCCUGAUGGAGGGGGAUAACUACUGGACACGGUAGCUAAUACCGCAUAACGUCGCAAGACCAAAGAGGGGGACCUUCGGGCCUCUUGCCAUCGGAUGUGCCCAGAUGGGAUUAGCUAGUAGGUGGGGUAACGGCUCACCUAGGCGACGAUCCCUAGCUGGUCUGAGAGGAUGACCAGCCACACUGGAACUGAGACACGGUCCAGACUCCUACGGGAGGCAGCAGUGGGGAAUAUUGCACAAAGGGCGCAAGCCUGAUGCAGCCAUGCCGCGUGUAUGAAGAAGGCCUUCGGGUUGUAAAGUACUUUCAGCGGGGAGGAAGGGAGUAAAGUUAAUACCUUUGCUCAUUGACGUUACCCGCAGAAGAAGCACCGGCUAACUCCGUG
RNAcentral lists this ribosomal RNA (490 nucleotides) under uncultured bacterium. RNAcentral describes it as "partial 16S ribosomal RNA". It matches the Rfam family "Bacterial small subunit ribosomal RNA", at positions 30 to 507 of the family's 1533-position model. The record is from RNAcentral.